GAUGAACGCUGGCGGCGUGCCUAAUACAUGCAAGUCGAGCGAACGGACGAGAAGCUUGCUUUUCUGAUGUUAGCGGCGGACGGGUGAGUAACACGUGGAUAACCUACCUAUAAGACUGGGAUAACUUCGGGAAACCGGAGCUAAUACCGGAUAAUAUUUUGAACCGCAUGGUUCAAAAGUGAAAGACGGUCUUGCUGUCACUUAUAGAUGGAUCCGCGCUGCAUUAGCUAGUUGGUAAGGUAACGGCUUACCAAGGCAACGAUGCAUAGCCGACCUGAGAGGGUGAUCGGCCACACUGGAACUGAGACACGGUCCAGACUCCUACGGGAGGCAGCAGUAGGGAAUCUUCCGCAAUGGGCGAAAGCCUGACGGAGCAACGCCGCGUGAGUGAUGAAGGCCUUCGGAUCGUAAAACUCUGUUAUUAGGGAAGAACAUAUGUGUAAGUAACUGUGCACGUCUUGACGGUACCUAAUCAGAAAGCCACGGCUAACUACGUG
RNAcentral lists this ribosomal RNA (497 nucleotides) under uncultured bacterium. RNAcentral's name for it is "partial 16S ribosomal RNA". It matches the Rfam family "Bacterial small subunit ribosomal RNA", at positions 28 to 507 of the family's 1533-position model. The record is from RNAcentral.